This 497-nucleotide ribosomal RNA is filed under the name uncultured bacterium. Its description in RNAcentral is "partial 16S ribosomal RNA". It matches the Rfam family "Bacterial small subunit ribosomal RNA", at positions 28 to 507 of the family's 1533-position model. The record is from RNAcentral.
GAUGAACGCUGGCGGCGUGCCUAAUACAUGCAAGUCGAGCGAACGGACGAGAAGCUUGCUUCUCUGAUGUUAGCGGCGGACGGUUGAGUAACACGUGGAUGACCUACCUAUAAGACUGGGAUAACUUCGGGAAACCGGAGCUAAUACCGGAUAAUAUUUUGAACCGCAUGGUUCAAAAGUGAAAGACGGUCUUGCUGUCACUUAUAGAUGGAUCCGCGCUGCAUUAGCUAGUUGGUAAGGUAACGGCUUACCAAGGCAACGAUGCAUAGCCGACCUGAGAGGGUGAUCGGCCACACUGGAACUGAGACACGGUCCAGACUCCUACGGGAGGCAGCAGUAGGGAAUCUUCCGCAAUGGGCGAAAGCCUGACGGAGCAACGCCGCGUGAGUGAUGAAGGUCUUCGGAUCGUAAAACUCUGUUAUUAGGGAAGAACAUAUGUGUAAGUAACUGUGCACAUCUUGACGGUACCUAAUCAGAAAGCCACGGCUAACUACGUG